RNAcentral lists this ribosomal RNA (253 nucleotides) under uncultured bacterium. RNAcentral describes it as "partial 16S ribosomal RNA". It matches the Rfam family "Bacterial small subunit ribosomal RNA", at positions 524 to 776 of the family's 1533-position model. The record is from RNAcentral.
UACGUAGGGUGCGAGCGUUGUCCGGAAUUAUUGGGCGUAAAGAGCUUGUAGGCGGUUUGUCGCGUCUGCUGUGAAAAUCCGGGGCUCAACCCCGGACUUGCAGUGGGUACGGGCAGGCUAGAGUGUGGUAGGGGAGACUGGAAUUCCUGGUGUAGCGGUGAAAUGCGCAGAUAUCAGGAGGAACACCGGUGGCGAAGGCGGGUCUCUGGGCCGUAACUGACGCUGAGGAGCGAAAGCGUGGGGAGCGAACAGG